CCGGAUAUGGUGCAAAGGAUAGCGCGGCCCUCGUGAUCGCUCGUGGGCAAACCGAGGGAGGGCAGAUCGGGGUUCAAUUCCCCGUUUCCGCG
Mycena vulgaris is the source of this 92-nucleotide non-coding RNA. The record is from the annotation of a GenBank genome assembly. NCBI's taxonomy places the organism in Eukaryota, Fungi, Basidiomycota, Agaricomycetes, Agaricales, Mycenaceae.